Molecule: non-coding RNA, 59 nt
Filed under: Roseovarius azorensis
Lineage: Bacteria; Pseudomonadati; Pseudomonadota; Alphaproteobacteria; Rhodobacterales; Roseobacteraceae
Description: sul1 RNA
Rfam family: sul1 RNA
Source: Rfam by way of RNAcentral
ACAGGAUCCCGGAAGAGAUGUCCGGGUGGCUCUUCCGGCCGCUGACCCGCCGGAUCAUG